AUGACGUCCAAGUCCUCAUGGCCCUUAUAGGUGGGGCUACACACGUCAUACAAUGGCUGGGUACCAAAGGGUUGGCCAACCCGCGAGGGGGAGGCCAAUCCCAUAAAGCCAGUCGUAGUCCGGAUCGCAGUCUGCAACUCGACUGCGUGAAGUCGGAAUCGCUAGUAAUCGUGGAUCAGCAUGUCACGGUGAAUACGUUCCCGGGUCUU
This 209-nucleotide ribosomal RNA is filed under the name uncultured Comamonadaceae bacterium. RNAcentral's name for it is "partial 16S ribosomal RNA". It matches the Rfam family "Bacterial small subunit ribosomal RNA", at positions 1179 to 1382 of the family's 1533-position model. Lineage: Bacteria; Pseudomonadati; Pseudomonadota; Betaproteobacteria; Burkholderiales; Comamonadaceae. The record is from RNAcentral.